Molecule: long non-coding RNA, 2058 nt
Organism: Schistocerca nitens (vagrant locust)
Lineage: Eukaryota; Metazoa; Arthropoda; Insecta; Orthoptera; Acrididae
Exons: 4
Source: RefSeq, a predicted model, not a curated record
GUACUCUUUGGUUUCCGCUAAGAGCUUUCUUCUUUCAUUUGCUGGCGGUGGUGAUACAUGUUCGUUUGUCGCUGGUGAUAUCCGUUGAAAUCUCCUGGUUUUUCAGAACUACUGGAGAAUUAGGUAGUUUAUUUCAACAGGAAGCAUGAGAGCAAAGUGGAGGAAGAAGCGUAUGCGGAGGCUGAAGCGGAAGAGGAGGAAGAUGAGGGCGAGGUCGAAGUAGGUUGCUGGCCCUCACGCUCUGCUGGAACUCCAUAACAUCUGAUCCACACUCCUCAUUGUGUUGUGUGGCUGCAGCAGAGACUUUUGUAUAAAUUUGUUGGGACAAUAAAUGUUUCAACAAAAGCUUUGUUAAUUCUGCUCUUUUAACCUGAUCCUGUGAAAAGUCUUAAGAACCCUAUUAAAACAAUGAAAAGUAGCUUCACGUUACAGAUAAUUCAACUCUUCUCAUUUCACAUAGAAAGUUGACAAAGAAUGUUGUAAUUGAGCUCCUUCAGAGGAAUUUUCACUUUUGCAACAGUAGCCUGCUGUCCAGCUGAGGCAGUUGUAACAUACUAUGGAUAGUGCAGUAAUGGAGACUGAAGUGAUACCCUAAAAGAUAAACACAGGUCACCUAAAUCUGAAUAUUGACUUUGUUUGCAGCAGUGGGAUCACUAGUACUGAAGCUGUUAGGAAACAAAAUUGGCUUUGUUUUUAGACAACUUUAACUUGGAAGUUACUCUUGCCCCUGAGAAGAGUGCCCCUAUAAACCUGCUCAGUUACCAAAUUUUUUUAUUGACUUUUAAGUUGACAGCAAAUCUUCAUUGGUUCCAUAAUUUGGAGAUUGCUAUUCAGAAAUUUGCAAAAAAAUUGGUGUUGAUGCUCAGUAUUCUUCUUAGAAACCUGGAAUAUGAUUUUACAGAGAAUGUAAAUGAGGUGAAAAUUUUAAAAUUUACCUAUGGUCCAUGAGGGGACUUAGAUUAUGGUGUUAUCUGAUUUGGUAUUAUGUAUAUAUUUGAGUGAUGCAGCAACAUGAGGUUAUUUUUGCAAUUGGAAUAAAAUUACUAAUUAUAAAUAAAACAGCUUCUGGCUGCAGGGUGGUUUUGCAACUUCCAUAGAUGAGUAUGGGAAUUCUGUUCCUAUCAUCAAAUGCACCUUCAGCACACAUCUAAUGGAUAAAUAUUUUAGCAUUUGCAGCUGGCUAUUGGCAAAAUGAAGAGUGCCAUGUCCAAACCAACACACCAUGGGUUGUAGGAAUAAAAUGGAGAAUGUACUUUAUAGUUCAGUAUUGGAAUGUUUUCAUAUGAAUAAAACUAGAGCUUCUCACAAGUGAAGUCACUGUUUUUUGAAGUGGCCUCUGUAGUGUCCUUAGAGCUGAAUACUGUUGAAGUGAAGUUUUUGCGAGUUUGUAUAAGAAGACUUAGUAUGUAUACACCAGACAAUUGCCACAGACAUUUUCAGAUGUUCGUAAGUUGGUGGGUCAGAAAAAUAACUGGUGUUUUACAAAACCGAGUGAUCUGGCUAUUGUAAUAAACCCCACUUGAUGCACAAGUAGACUUGUGGCAUAUUUAACAAAAAUUCUUGUUGGAAAACAGUUGUAGAUGAAAAUUUCUUGUAAUCUUAAGGUUUUGUGUUCAUCUAACUGGAAUAGCAAGGUUUCUUGCAUGUUGAAAACUUGGUAACCUUUUUAGAAAAUGUAUUUCUGUAAAUUGUUCACCAUUUUAGUAAUUUUUUGCUGUAUAAAUUAAAAUUGAAAUUUAGUAUUAAUCUUCCUGAUGCUAGUUCCAUAUUUAUGCACUGAAUAGAUAUCCUGUUUGAUUUGAAUAAAAUGUAGGGUUGAGUGUGUUGUGUACUGGAAGCUGCACACAACUUUUUUAGAAUAGGUGAGGUAGUGAGAAUGAGCUCCCUUGUCAGAAUAUGCUGUUAAUUUUUUAUUCACAUGUAGAGAACUUUUGGAAUGUAGUUUUAUUAAUGACCCCAUAACAGGGUCUUUCAGCAAGUUCAGUGUGUAGUUUUUGAUAAAGGUCAAAACUUUAUUUACAAUAAUAGUUAAGUCUCCAAGUGAUGCGUCUUAACAAC